AGCGAACAUUGGCGGUAGGCUUAACACAUGCAAGUCGAGCGAGGCGUAAUAGUCGAGCGGCGAACGGGUGAGUAAUACUUGGGAAUCUGCCCUGAAGUGGGGGAUAACGUCCAGAAAUGGACGCUAAUACCGCAUAAUCCAUAUCGGGAAAGCGCGCUGCGCUUUAGGAUGAGCCCAAGUCUGAUUAGCUAGUUGGCGGGGUAAAGGCCCACCAAGGCGACGAUCAGUAGCUGGUCUGAGAGGAUGAUCAGCCACACUGGAACUGAGACACGGUCCAGACUCCUACGGGAGGCAGCAGUGGGGAAUCUUGCGCAAUGGGGGGCAACCCUGACGCAGCCAUACCGCGUGUGUGAUGAAGGUCUUCGGAUUGUAAAGCACUUUCAGCGGGGACGACAAUGACGGUACCCGCAGAAGAAGUCACGGCUAACUUCGUGCCAGCAGCCGCGGUAAU
This 451-nucleotide ribosomal RNA is filed under the name uncultured bacterium. RNAcentral describes it as "bacterial SSU rRNA". It matches the Rfam family "Bacterial small subunit ribosomal RNA", at positions 29 to 524 of the family's 1533-position model. The record is from RNAcentral.